RNAcentral lists this transfer RNA (27 nucleotides) under Rheodytes leukops. Its description in RNAcentral is "partial tRNA-Leu". Lineage: Eukaryota; Metazoa; Chordata; Testudines; Chelidae. RNAcentral also lists the same sequence under 1 other name. The record is from RNAcentral.
UUUUAAAGGAUAGAAGAAAUCCAAUGG